GAUGAACGCUGGCGGCGUGCUUAAUACAUGCAAGUCGAGCGAACAGAUGAGGAGCUUGCUCCUCUGACGUUAGCGGCGGACGGGAGAGACACACGUGGAUAACCUACCUAUAAGACUGGGAUAACUUCGGGAAACCGGAGCUAAUACCGGAUAAUCUAUUGAACCGCAUGGUUCAAUGGUGAAAGUCGGUGUUGCUGGCACUAAUAGCUGCAUAUGCGCCGGAUUAGCUAGUUGGUAAGGUAACGGCUUUCCACGGCAACGAUGCGUAGCCGACCUGAGAGGGGGAUCGGCCACACUGGAACGGAGACACGGUCCAGACUCCUACGGGAGGCAGCAGUAGGGAAUCUUACGCAAUGGGCGAAAGCCUGACGGAGCAACGCCGCGUGAGUGAUGAAGGUCUUCGGAUCGUAAAACUCUGUUAUGAGUGAAGAACAAAUGUGUAAUGAACUAUGCACGGCUUGACGGUACCGAAUCAGAAAGCCACGGCUAACUACGUG
RNAcentral lists this ribosomal RNA (497 nucleotides) under uncultured bacterium. Its description in RNAcentral is "partial 16S ribosomal RNA". It matches the Rfam family "Bacterial small subunit ribosomal RNA", at positions 28 to 507 of the family's 1533-position model. The record is from RNAcentral.